UGUACUAGCAACUCUGUAAAGAAGUCUUCUCUAUGGAUAACUAUGAGGAGCUUGUUGAUCCUUCAACCUUCAUUCCUCGAUUCACAAACGUGGACAUGACGAUGGAACAACAACAAAGGUCAUUGGAACGGCUAUGAAUAUUAUAGCUAGUAUGAAGGGAGAUUGGAUGCAGACCGGCCGGAAACUAAGUGGAUCAUAUGUGGAGCAGCAAUUUACAUAGCUGCCCUUUCUCAUGAUAUUGUAGA
This is a long non-coding RNA of Brassica oleracea var. oleracea, 245 nucleotides long. RefSeq lists it as uncharacterized. The record is from RefSeq and is a predicted model, not a curated record. Lineage: Eukaryota; Viridiplantae; Streptophyta; Magnoliopsida; Brassicales; Brassicaceae. The transcript is spliced from 3 exons.